Molecule: ribosomal RNA, 1240 nt
Filed under: Salmonella enterica subsp. enterica serovar Paratyphi B
Lineage: Bacteria; Pseudomonadati; Pseudomonadota; Gammaproteobacteria; Enterobacterales; Enterobacteriaceae
Description: bacterial LSU rRNA
Rfam family: Bacterial large subunit ribosomal RNA
Source: RNAcentral
CAUCCUCCAAGGCUAAAUACUCCUGACUGACCGAUAGUGAACCAGUACCGUGAGGGAAAGGCGAAAAGAACCCCGGCGAGGGGAGUGAAAAAGAACCUGAAACCGUGUACGUACAAGCAGUGGGAGCACAGGUUUACCUGUGUGACUGCGUACCUUUUGUAUAAUGGGUCAGCGACUUAUAUUCUGUAGCAAGGUUAACCGUAUAGGGGAGCCGGAGGGAAACCGAGUCUUAAUUGGGCGUUAAGUUGCAGGGUAUAGACCCGAAACCCGGUGAUCUAGCCAUGGGCAGGUUGAAGGUUGGGUAACACUAACUGGAGGACCGAACCGACUAAUGUUGAAAAAUUAGCGGAUGACCUGUGGCUGGGGGUGAAAGGCCAAUCAAACCGGGAGAUAGCUGGUUCUCCCCGAAAGCUAUUUAGGUAGCGCCUCGUGAAUUCAUCUCCGGGGGUAGAGCACUGUUUCGGCUAGGGGGCCAUCCCGGCUUACCAACCCGAUGCAAACUGCGAAUACCGGAGAAUGUUAUCACGGGAGACACACGGCGGGUGCUAACGUCCGUCGUGAAGAGGGAAACAACCCAGACCGCCAGCUAAGGUCCCAAAGUCAUGGUUAAGUGGGAAACGAUGUGGGAAGGCCCAGACAGCCAGGAUGUUGGCUUAGAAGCAGCCAUCAUUUAAAGAAAGCGUAAUAGCUCACUGGUCGAGUCGGCCUGCGCGGAAGAUGUAACGGGGCUAAACCAUGCACCGAAGCUGCGGCAGCGACACUGUGUGUUGUUGGGUAGGGGAGCGUUCUGUAAGCCUGCGAAGGUGGCCUGUGAGGGUUGCUGGAGGUAUCAGAAGUGCGAAUGCUGACAUAAGUAACGAUAAAGCGGGUGAAAAGCCCGCUCGCCGGAAGACCAAGGGUUCCUGUCCAACGUUAAUCGGGGCAGGGUGAGUCGACCCCUAAGGCGAGGCCGAAAGGCGUAGUCGAUGGGAAACAGGUUAAUAUUCCUGUACUUGGUGUUACUGCGAAGGGGGGACGGAGAAGGCUAUGUUGGCCGGGCGACGGUUGUCCCGGUUUAAGCGUGUAGGUGUGUGUUCCAGGUAAAUCCGGUUCACUUUAACACUGAGGCGUGACGACGAGGCACUACGGUGCUGAAGCAACAAAUGCCCUGCUUCCAGGAAAAGCCUCUAAGCAUCAGGUAACAUCAAAUCGUACCCCAAACCGACACAGGUGGUCAGGUAGAGAAUACCAAGGCGCUUGA